GUACUUGCUUCAGUAGCACAUAUGCUAAAACUGGAACAAUACAAAGAACAUUAGCAUGGCCCCUGUGCAAGGAUGACAUGCAAAUUCAUAAAGUACUCCAUAUUUUU
Monodelphis domestica (gray short-tailed opossum) is the source of this 107-nucleotide small nuclear RNA. The record is from Ensembl. NCBI's taxonomy places the organism in Eukaryota, Metazoa, Chordata, Mammalia, Didelphimorphia, Didelphidae.